GACGAACGCUGGCGGCGUGCCUAACACAUGCAAGUCGAGCGGGGAUUUAAGUGGAAGUUCUUCGGAAUGGAGAUUUAAAUUCUAGCGGCGGACGGGUGAGUAACGCGUGAACAAUCUGUCCCGGACAGGGGGAUAACACUUGGAAACAGGUGCUAAUACCGCAUAAGACCACGGCCUCGCAUGGGGCUGAGGUAAAAGGAGCAAUCCGGUUCGGGGUGAGUUCGCGUCCGAUUAGCUAGUUGGUGAGGUAACGGCCCACCAAGGCGACGAUCGGUAGCCGGCCUGAGAGGGUGAACGGCCACAUUGGAACUGAGAGACGGUCCAAACCCCUACGGGAGGCAGCAGUGGGGAAUAUUGGGCAAUGGGCGAAAGCCUGACCCAGCAACGCCGCGUGAGGGAAGAAGGUUUUCGGAUUGUAAACCUCUGUCCUAUGGGACGAAGGAAGUGACGGUACCAUAGGAGGAAGCCCCGGCUAACUACGUG
RNAcentral lists this ribosomal RNA (483 nucleotides) under uncultured bacterium. Its description in RNAcentral is "partial 16S ribosomal RNA". It matches the Rfam family "Bacterial small subunit ribosomal RNA", at positions 28 to 507 of the family's 1533-position model. The record is from RNAcentral.